Molecule: ribosomal RNA, 163 nt
Filed under: uncultured bacterium
Lineage: Bacteria
Description: partial 16S ribosomal RNA
Rfam family: Bacterial small subunit ribosomal RNA
Source: RNAcentral
UAGGGAAUCUUCGGCAAUGGACGAAAGUCUGACAGAGCAACGCCGCGUGAGUGAAGAAGGUUUUCGGAUCGUAAAACUCUGUUGGUAGAGAAGAACGUUGGUGAGAGUGGAAAGCUCAUCAAGUGACGGUAACUACCCAGAAAGGGACGGCUAACUACGUGCC